Molecule: RNA transcript, 3529 nt
Organism: Malania oleifera
Lineage: Eukaryota; Viridiplantae; Streptophyta; Magnoliopsida; Santalales; Ximeniaceae
Exons: 11
Source: RefSeq, a predicted model, not a curated record
AGUCUUCUAAGAGAGCUCGGGAAGGUUUUGAGUAGACAAAGCAAAUCUCGUAGGACUAUCCUGCGAGAUUUAUCACGGGUCACAACGCGAAUGGAUUUCAGGCGCAAAUCUCGCAGCUUGGUCCUGCGAGAUUUGCGCCACGCGUCACCUUCUCGCUGGUUGUUCUCUUCAAAUCUCGCAGCUCCAACCUGCGAGAUUUGGUCCAGCGUCGCCACGCAUCACCUUCCCGCUGGUUCUCUCGUUGCCACGCGUCAAAGGCAGAGCGGCCCAUGAGUUUAAAUCUCGUAGCAUGAAACUACGAGAUUACGCGAGUAUUACUUUGGAAAAAUUUUUCCCAAUAAGAGUGUUAUUUUAUAUUUUAUUUUUAUUUAAUAAUAAAACGGGAAAAAACUAUAUAUAUAUAAAUAUAUAUACAAUUUUUCUUCACUUGCUUGUUUCUAUAUUGAUAUGCCCUGCCAUUUUGAUUUUGCUUCUUCAAUUGCUUGCGUCUUUCACCUUGUUGCAUGUAAUUUCAACCGAUUGCUAAUUCUAUUUUCAGAUUUUAUUUAAUUCCAAACCAGCCACAAUAAACACCUAAACAUAAACCUGUUUAUUUUGAUGCGUGUAUGUGUGCUAAGUCUGAUCAAGAAAAAUAUAUGUUCACCAAUCAAUAUUCAGCAAAGCAUAAACAUGUCAAUCACACAGUCACAAUCCACAAGAUCGCAUUUACGUUGUUCGGUCCAAAAAUUAGCCUACAUUCACGCAGAAACUCACCUCUAAGAUACUAUAUUAAAUCUGGUGGGAAUAAAUAUACAUACAUAGAUUUACCCCUUCUUGACUUUCCAAUUUCUUUUAGAAAUCAGCCCAAGAAUAAUCCAAAAAAUCCCUUCUUGGCUCCUGCGAAGAACCCUAGAUUUCUCCUUAUAUUCCUUCCUAAAUUUCCCUACAAGAAAUUCCUGCCAAGAAACUAGAUCUGUGCAUUACCUCCUUUACCUGUUCGCGAACCUCCGCUGGAGGUUGGAAAUACCCAGCGCCGCACCUCCUCCUGCUGGUUCCUUCUUGCGUGCGGCCUCACUCUCCCGCCCGACUGCUGAAGCCUCUCGGUUCUGCAGGUGCUCUCUCGGCUGGGAGGUCUCCUGCUGCUAGGAAGAACUCGCGGCUGGCUGUGGAAGAAGACGGAGCGGCGUCUCUCUCUCGGUUCUGGAGCUGCAAACACAAGAAGAAGAAAACCUCUUCUGCCCUUCCGUGUCUCAAGCUACGAACACAGAAACUCUCCAAGUCCCCCCCAUCUACCUGCUAUGUUUUUUAUUCAUUUACAAUUAAAGUCAAGCAAUUACAUCACUGCCCCUAUAACAAAAGUAAGCAAAAAACAGCCGUUGGAUUUGGGUAAAGAAAUGGACAGCCUGGAUUCUGUUUCAAGCCUUGACACUCCAACACACCUGUUCUCUAGGACUGCUCAGUUUCUCGCCGGGGAUCAAUAUCUUGAGACUAAGUCAGAUAAUGAGUGUAAAAAGUUGAAGUUUCUAUUCCAGAGGGUAGCAUAUUUUUUCCGUGCUUUUGGUUCGAUGGUACCAACAAGGGCUUUGAAGCAAUAUGUGUGGCGCACCCCUUACCUGCCCCUUACAUUAGUUAUGGUAAAUUCAAGUUUGGAGGAGACACCUGUUUUGAGCAGGCUGUUGUCUGUGGGGGUUGAUCCACAUCAGAAGUCCUUUUAUAGUGCCUCCGUGGACAAAGUGAAUGAUCCAAGAAUCAGUGAUUUUUCACUUCAAGAAAGGGGUUGUCACUCAUUCGAAAGUGGCAAGGAGAGAGAAAGAGAACAGGUGCAGUGUUACGAGCGGGGCACGGAGGCAUUACUGUGGAGAAGACAAACAAAGGAAAUGUCUCAUAAAGAUUUUCUAAGUCGACUUCCUGCGAACUUGGGUAGGAAUCAAAGGGCAUUUGGAAGUAUGUGUGAUGCUCGGUCUCUUCCAGCUCAUCUGUAUAGCUCCUAUUCUGAUAAUAAAUGCAUGAAGGAUGUAACAAAUAAGUUUUUAAAAGGUAUACCAUCAAUUGUGAACAUAGUGGAAGUUGGUCCAAGGGACGGUUUACAAAAUGAGAAGCAUAUUGUGCCUACACCAGUAAAGGUUGAGUUGAUAAAGAUGCUUGUUUCUUCAGGAUUGCCUGUCAUUGAGGCUACAAGUUUUGUCUCUCCAAAAUGGGUACCGCAGCUAGCAGAUGCAAAGGAUGUAAUGGAAGCUAUUCAAAAUGUUACAGGAGCCAGAUUUCCUGUGUUAACACCUAAUGUUAAAGGAUUUGAAGCUGCAAUUGCUGCUGGAGCUAAGGAAGUGGCUGUCUUUGCCGCAGCAUCUGAAUCCUUUUCAAAGUCAAACAUCAAUUGUAGCAUUGAAGAUAGUCUCACUCGUUAUCAUGAUGUAGCUCUUGCAGCUAAAAAGCUCUCAAUACCUGUCCGUGGAUACAUAUCAUGCGUUGUGGGAUGUCCCAUGGAAGGAGUGGUGCCUCCAUCAAAAGUAGCAUAUGUGGCUAAAAGGCUUUAUGAUAUGGGUUGCUCAGAAAUUUCCCUUGGUGACACAAUUGGUGUUGGUACUCCUGGUACCGUCAUUCCAAUGCUUGAAGCUGUUAUUGGAGUUGUACCUGUUGAUAAGCUUGCUGUUCACUUCCAUGAUACUUAUGGGCAAGCUCUUUCAAAUAUUCUCAUAUCACUCCAAAUGGGGAUAAGCUCAGUGGAUUCAUCAGUCUCUGGUCUUGGGGGUUGCCCAUAUGCUAAAGGUGCUUCUGGGAAUGUUGCCACCGAAGAUGUUGUUUACAUGCUGCAUGGGCUUGGAGUGAAAACCAAUGUGGAUCUUCGAAAGCUAACGUUGGCUGGGGAUUUCAUUAGCAGGCAUUUGGGGCGCCCAUCUGGUUCAAAGACUGCAGUUGCUUUGAGCAAACUCACUGCCCAUGCCUCCAAGCUAUAAAAUGCUGGAAUUCGAUUGAAAACCCAAAAUGAAACUGAUUUGGCACCAUCCUAUUCCUAGGCAAGCAAAACGACGCCAAUUUGUACGUGAUAAAAUUAACCCAGAAAUUGGUCUAUAGCGUAUGCCUUCCCAGUUCUACACGUUUCUUUCUAAUAAGCAAGUAAAUGGCACAGCUAUCUAGGAUCAUAAAAGAAGAAUUUCAUUUUUUACGGGUAGUUGGGUGGUAGCCGGCGAAAGGUAGGUGAUGGGUCUUAUAGCAAAUACAGUGUGCUGGGAGCAGCAGGCAGUGCAGGACAAAGAAAGGGGUCUCUCAGCAAUUUCAUGCAUUAAAUACCUUCUUUAAUUUGCACUGAGGCGUUUGUCGACCUGCUGUUUGUUUCACCGUUAGGGUUUAAAAAGAGGACUUUGUCCCUUCUCGGUCCUGCCGGCAGUCUCUCUGUAGCUGUGGUUUCAGUUUUACCACCAAAUCAUAACUGUAAUGUUAAAAAAAAGGGAAAGAGAUAUCCCAAGUUGGUUUUGGCAGAACCCUUGAAGGUUGUGUGACAUUAAAUUCCAGCCUGAUAUGUUAAAAGGUGAAUAAAAAUAUUUUUAUGCUA